This 345-nucleotide long non-coding RNA is filed under the name Homo sapiens (human). RNAcentral's name for it is "non-protein coding lnc-BRF1-34:1". Lineage: Eukaryota; Metazoa; Chordata; Mammalia; Primates; Hominidae. The record is from RNAcentral.
AUGGAGCUUGGGCUGAGCUGGGUUUUCACUGUUGCUGUUUUAAAAGGUGUCUAGUGAGAGGUACAGCUCGUGGAGUCCGGAGAGGACCCAAGACAACCUGGGGGAUCCCUGAGACUCUCCUGUGCAGACUCUGGAUUAACCUUCAGUAGCUACUGAAGGAACUCGGUUUCCCAGGCUCCAGGGAAGGGGCUGGAGUGAGUAGUAGAUAUACAGUGUGAUGGAAGUCAGAUAUGUUAUGCAUAAUCUUUGAAGAGCAAAUUCACCAUCUCCAAAGAAAAUGCCAAGAACUCACUGUAUUUGCUAAUGAACAGUCUGAGAGCAGCGGGCACAGCUGUGUGUUACUGU